RNAcentral lists this ribosomal RNA (522 nucleotides) under uncultured Thelephoraceae. Its description in RNAcentral is "eukaryotic LSU rRNA". The stretch from base 113 to 270 matches the Rfam family "5.8S ribosomal RNA". Lineage: Eukaryota; Fungi; Basidiomycota; Agaricomycetes; Thelephorales; Thelephoraceae. The record is from RNAcentral.
UGUAGUUCUAUGGCAUGGGGACUCUGUCCUCCUGCUGUGGUUCUGCAUCUUUACAACACACAAUGUGAUAGAGUCUCAUGGAAUGUACACCGCGUUUAACGCAAUACAAUACAACUUUCAGCAACGGAUCUCUUGGCUCUCGCAUCGAUGAAGAACGCAGCGAAAUGCGAUAAGUAAUGUGAAUUGCCGGAAUUCAGUGAAUCAUCGAAUCUUUGAACGCACCUUGCGCCCUUUGGGCUAUUCCGAAGGGGCAUGCCUGUUUGAGUAUCAUGAACACCUCAACUCUCAUGGUUUGCCAUGAUGAGCUUGGACUUUGGGGGUUUUGCUGGCCUGAGGUCAGCUCUCCUCAAAAUGAAUCAGCUUGCCAGUGUUUUGGUGGCAUCGCAGAUGUGAUAACUAUCUACGCUUGUGGAGUCCCACCAUGCACCUUCAGUGAUAUGAAAGGUUCGCUGGAGCUUAUAAAUGUCUCUCUCAACGAGGACAGCAUUUUGGAAGUUUGAUCUCAAAUCAGGUAGGACUACC